Molecule: long non-coding RNA, 306 nt
Organism: Ananas comosus (pineapple)
Lineage: Eukaryota; Viridiplantae; Streptophyta; Magnoliopsida; Poales; Bromeliaceae
Exons: 3
Source: RefSeq, a predicted model, not a curated record
CUCUUACCUCUUCCGAUUCUCUCCAUUCCCUCUCUCUAUCUCUCUCAUCCCUUCUCUCUCUCCUCUGAUUUCUCGCUUCGUUCCUCCAGGUAAACCAUCCACGAUGGUCGCGGUGCCAUCAAUCUAUGAUGACCUAGCUUCGUAGGCCAAAUUUGCUCACAUCAACACCGAUUGGAGGGUCCAUGAUGAGGUCUACCCCAAGCUAUGGUGUCUACAAAACGGAAGUCCACGAACUUGUGCGGAUGUUGCGCGCUCAGUAGGCGCCCACUCUGCAGGCACGAAUCCUCAGGGGUUUCCCAUCUUCAC